RNAcentral lists this ribosomal RNA (427 nucleotides) under Rhipicephalus microplus (southern cattle tick). RNAcentral's name for it is "partial 16S ribosomal RNA". The stretch from base 281 to 427 matches the Rfam family "Bacterial large subunit ribosomal RNA", at positions 2473 to 2620 of the family's 2925-position model. The record is from RNAcentral. Lineage: Eukaryota; Metazoa; Arthropoda; Arachnida; Ixodida; Ixodidae.
UUUAUUUUUGAUUACAAGGUAUUGAAUAAGGUUUUAAUUGAAUGCUAAAAGAAUGGAAUAUCAAAGAAUAACUUUCUUAAAAUUAAAAAUUGAAAUUUUUUUAAUUUGUGUAAAAACAAUUAUAUAAAUUAAAGACAAGAAGACCCUAAGAAUUUUUAAAAUUUAAAUUAACACAUUUUUGUUUUAAUUAAAUUUUAACUGGGGCGGUUAAAAAAUAUUAAAAACUUUUUAAUUUUGAAAAUGAUCCAUUAUUAAUGAAAAUAUGAUAAAAUACUCUAGGGAUAACAGCGUUAUAUUUUUUGAUAGAUCAUAUUGACAAAAAAGUUUGCGACCUCGAUGUUGGAUUAGGAUACUUUUUUAAUGAAGAUAUUAAAAUAAGAAGUUUGUUCAACUUUUAAAUUCCUACAUGAUCUGAGUUUAGACCGAA